Molecule: ribosomal RNA, 690 nt
Filed under: Pseudozyma sp. HB 1202
Lineage: Eukaryota; Fungi; Basidiomycota; Ustilaginomycetes; Ustilaginales; Ustilaginaceae
Description: eukaryotic LSU rRNA
Rfam family: Eukaryotic large subunit ribosomal RNA
Source: RNAcentral
CAAAUCGGCCUCAGAUUGGUAGGACUACCCGCUGAACUUAAGCAUAUCAAUAAGCGGAGGAAAAGAAACUAACAAGGAUUCCCCUAGUAACGGCGAGUGAAGAGGGAAGAGCCCAAGAUUGAAAGCUGGCGUCUUCGGCGUCCGCAUUGUAAUCUCAAGAAGUGUUUUCCGCUUCGGACCAUGCCUAAGUCCCUUGGAAAAGGGCAUCAUAGAGGGUGAUAAUCCCGUUCAUGGCAUGGAGCGCCCGAAGCUUUGUGAUACGCUUUCUAAGAGUCGAGUUGUUUGGGAAUGCAGCUCAAAAUGGGUGGUAAAUGCCAUCUAAGGCUAAAUAUUGGGGAGAGACCGAUAGCGAACAAGUACAGUGAUGGAAAGAUGAAAAGAACUUUGAAAAGAGAGUUAAACAGUACGUGAAAUUGCCAAAAGGGAAGGGUAGGAGGUCAGAGAUGCGUCUUGGAAUUCAGCCUUGCUUCUGCUUGGUGUUUUUUCCAUUUUGCAGGCCAACGUCGGUUUUGGGCACUGGAGAAGGGUGGAAGGAACGUGGCACCUCUCGGGGUGUGUUAUAGCCUUCUACUGGAUACAGCGACCGAGACCGAGGACAGCAGCGUACUCGCAAGAGCGGGCCUUCGGGCACCUUUACGCUUAGGGCGUUGGCAUAAUGGCCCUCUACCACCCGUCUUGAAACACGGACCA